GACGAACGCUGGCGGCGUGCUUAACACAUGCAAGUCGAACGAGAGGAGAAGGAAGCUUGCUUCUUUCGAAUCUAGUGGCAAACGGGUGAGUAACACGUAAACAACCUGCCUUCAGGAUGGGGACAACAGACGGAAACGACUGCUAAUACCGAAUACGUUCCUUAGGUCGCAUGACUUUAGGAAGAAAGGGUGGCCUCUACUUGUAAGCUAUCGCCUGAAGAGGGGUUUGCGUCUGAUUAGGUAGUUGGUGAGGUAACGGCCCACCAAGCCGACGAUCAGUAGCCGGUCUGAGAGGAUGAACGGCCACACUGGAACUGAGACACGGUCCAGACUCCUACGGGAGGCAGCAGUGGGGAAUCUUCCGCAAUGGGCGAAAGCCUGACGGAGCAACGCCGCGUGAGUGAUGACGGCCUUCGGGUUGUAAAGCUCUGUGAUCGGGGACGAACGGUCAGCAGACGAAUACUCUGCUGAAGUGACGGUACCCGAAUAGCAAGCCACGGCUAACUACG
Molecule: ribosomal RNA, 509 nt
Filed under: uncultured bacterium
Lineage: Bacteria
Description: bacterial SSU rRNA
Rfam family: Bacterial small subunit ribosomal RNA
Source: RNAcentral